RNAcentral lists this long non-coding RNA (768 nucleotides) under Musa acuminata (dwarf banana). Its description in RNAcentral is "long non-coding RNA (MACU_LNC006064)". Lineage: Eukaryota; Viridiplantae; Streptophyta; Magnoliopsida; Zingiberales; Musaceae. The record is from RNAcentral.
AUGAUUCAAAAUAGACAUUCUGCACGAUCGAAAGCUUUUUUACUAACAUUGCUAGAAUCUGCUAGUUUUGAGAUAUGAACUCAAGACAUUUUUGAUAAAUCAGACUUUUGUGAUGUUCUUCAGUCCGAUAAUUGAUCCAAACCAGCAAAGUUUGUCAAAGCAAAUCUACAUUUAUACAUGCAAAUGGCAAUUCACCCACCACCAACAAAGAAAAUAUUCACCUGUACUAUAUGCACAAGAAAAUUGAACCAGAGACAGCAAUUAAGUUAUUAAAUGUUAUAUAGUUAAAUUAGAUCAUAAAAUACAUUAAACUAGUCAAAUUUUCAAGUUUUAUAUAGUUGUAUAAUCAUCUAGGAAGUUAGCAUGCUGAACAAGAAAACAUAGAAUUGAUCAAAUCUACUUAUGAAAUACAUGUAAAUGGAAUUCAACAAAAGAGUUUGAUACAAUCAUAUCAGGUAUCUUAGUGAUGCAUAUUCUGUUAAUGAUCAAACAUGUUCAAGCAACGAAGGUUAUUCCUCAGAUCAUAAUCACGCUCCCGAACUAAUGAGGUAGAGUACAGUGUACAUCCCAUCAAUUUGUACUUGGUAAAUCUUGUUGCAAGAUGCACCCUUGGAAACCCCAAACCAUCUCCCAGAAACCCCCUUCACAUCAAAAGCUCUCCAGCACCAAAAAAAGAAAAGAGACAAAAGAAUGGAAAGGAAGAGAGAAAAGCCUAAAUGUUCAACCACUAGGAAACCAGAAUGUGAUAGAAUAAAGAAAUAAAAAAAA